This 474-nucleotide ribosomal RNA is filed under the name uncultured bacterium. RNAcentral's name for it is "bacterial SSU rRNA". It matches the Rfam family "Bacterial small subunit ribosomal RNA", at positions 355 to 825 of the family's 1533-position model. The record is from RNAcentral.
UCGAGAAUCUUUCGCAAUGCCCGAGAGGGUGACGAAGCGACGCCGCGUGCGGGAGGAAGGCCUUCGGGUUGUAAACCGCUGUCGGGAGUUAAGAAAUGCAAGGAUGUUAAUAGCGUUCUUGCUUGACUAAGGCUCCGGAGGAAGCCACGGCUAACUCUGUGCCAGCAGCCGCGGUAAUACAGAGGCGGCAAGCGUUGUUCGGAAUUAUUGGGCGUAAAGAGCACGUAGGCGGCUGUGUAAGUCGGUUGUGAAAGCCUUCCGCUCAACGGAAGAACGGCAUCCGAUACUGCAUGGCUUGAGUGUGGGAGGGGAGAGUGGAACUUCUGGUGGAGCGGUGAAAUGCGUAGAUAUCAGAAGGAACACCGGCGGCGAAGGCGACUCUCUGGUCCAUAACUGACGCUGAGUGUGCGAAAGCUAGGGGAGCAAACGGGAUUAGAUACCCCCGUAGUCCCUGAGCGGGCUGGCAAGGCGCAU